Cucurbita moschata (crookneck pumpkin) is the source of this 74-nucleotide non-coding RNA. The record is from the annotation of a RefSeq genome assembly. NCBI's taxonomy places the organism in Eukaryota, Viridiplantae, Streptophyta, Magnoliopsida, Cucurbitales, Cucurbitaceae.
GCGGGGAUAGCUCAGUUGGGAGAGUGUCAGACUGAAGAUCUGAAGGUCACGUGUUCGAUCCACGUUUCACUGCA